RNAcentral lists this ribosomal RNA (372 nucleotides) under Triticum aestivum (bread wheat). RNAcentral's name for it is "partial small subunit ribosomal RNA". The record is from RNAcentral. Lineage: Eukaryota; Viridiplantae; Streptophyta; Magnoliopsida; Poales; Poaceae.
AUGGCAAAAGUGCUAGAGUUUAGUCCAAAAUUACAUCAAUGGCAUUCAUUGGUUUCCACUCUAGUGUGCUGCAAAAGAAGAUGGGCAUCUGAUUCUGAAGAAAACAAGAGAAGAAAAGAAAUAAUGGGCAAGUUAUGUGCAUUAAAUUCAUGUGAUUUUAUUGAUUAUUUUGUUGUUGCAGAGGAGAGAAAGCAACUUGAAGUUUGCGAGGAAGGUAAUGCCGUAAUGCUCCUCACGUCUCCUUGGCAUCGGUUCAAUCAAAUUGUUUAUGACAUAGGGUGCCAUGAAUUCUCGGUAUUGAUGGUUUUAAAUUUUAAGAUUUAUGCUCGAAAGUCACAUGGGAAUGGACUGGGAAAUGAGAAUAAUGCAUAA